This 639-nucleotide ribosomal RNA is filed under the name uncultured Actinomycetes bacterium. Its description in RNAcentral is "bacterial SSU rRNA". It matches the Rfam family "Bacterial small subunit ribosomal RNA", at positions 232 to 885 of the family's 1533-position model. The record is from RNAcentral. Lineage: Bacteria; Bacillati; Actinomycetota; Actinomycetes.
CGCGGCCUAUCAGCUUGUUGGUGAGGUAACGGCUCACCAAGGCGACGACGGGUAGCCGGCCUGAGAGGGUGACCGGCCACACUGGGACUGAGACACGGCCCAGACUCCUACGGGAGGCAGCAGUGGGGAAUAUUGCACAAUGGGCGAAAGCCUGAUGCAGCAACGCCGCGUGCGGGGAGAAGGCCCUAGGGUUGUAAACCGCUUUCAGCAGGGAAGAAAAUGACGGUACCUGCAGAAGAAGGUGCGGCCAACUACGUGCCAGCAGCCGCGGUGACACGUAGGCACCAAGCGUUGUCCGGAUUUAUUGGGCGUAAAGAGCUCGUAGGCGGUUCAGUAAGUCGGGUGUGAAAACUCUGGGCUCAACCCAGAGACGCCACUCGAUACUGCUGUGACUCGAGUGCGGUAGGGGAGCGGGGAAUUCCUAGUGUAGCGGUGAAAUGCGCAGAUAUUAGGAGGAACACCAGUGGCGAAGGCGCCGCUCUGGGCCGUAACUGACGCUGAGGAGCGAAAGCGUGGGUAGCAAACAGGAUUAGAUACCCUGGUAGUCCACGCCGUAAACGUUGGGCACUAGGUGUGGGUCUCAACCAACGAGAUCCGCGCCGUCGCUAACGCAUUAAGUGCCCCGCCUGGGGAGUACGG